GAGUUUGAUCGUGGCUCAGAGCGAACGCUGGCGGCAGGCUUAACACAUGCAAGUCGAGCGCCCCGCAAGGGGAGCGGCAGACGGGAGAGUAACGCGUGGAUAUCUGCCUUUUGGUUCGGAAUAACCCCGGGAAACUGGGGCUAAUACCGGAUGGUUCCUUCGGGAUAAAGAUUUAUCGCCAAAAGAUGAGUCCGCGUACGAUUAGCUAGUUGGUGAGGUAAUGGCUCACCAAGGCGACGAUCGUUAGCUGGUCUGAGAGGACGAUCAGCCACACUGGGACUGAGACACGGCCCAGACUCCUACGGGAGGCAGCAGUGGGGAAUAUUGGACAAUGGGGGCAACCCUGAUCCAGCCAUGCCGCGUGAGUGAUGAAGGCCUUCGGGUUGU
RNAcentral lists this ribosomal RNA (387 nucleotides) under uncultured Alphaproteobacteria bacterium. RNAcentral describes it as "bacterial SSU rRNA". It matches the Rfam family "Bacterial small subunit ribosomal RNA", at positions 9 to 426 of the family's 1533-position model. Lineage: Bacteria; Pseudomonadati; Pseudomonadota; Alphaproteobacteria. The record is from RNAcentral.